CAGAAGCAAGCCAGAUCCUAGCCUUAGCCAAAUAAGGAGCACCUGCCAUCGGGAAGGCAGAAGCCGGAUGCCGGUGCCAUCCUUGCGGCGCGGCCGUGCACGGCUCUCUACAGGGUAGAUGUUUCGUGCCUUGGCUUCUGUUUCCUCUCUGGUUCUUAGGAGAGUGUGGUGGCUGUGUGUUGCCUGGCAGGAAAUUCUUCUGUGGUCCUAGUCCUGAUGGGUGUGGCCACUGGGGGUUCCAGGUAAAAUGUGUUUCUGCUUCCUUGGCAGGAGUGGCCUGUGUCAUACUAUAGACCUUUCAUGUUCUAGUCAGAUUCUUCAUCUUACCUGUUCUGGGGCCUUCCAUCCCAUGUCCUACUCCAGCAGGCAUUUUUCUCAGACUUCAGUGGCUUAUCACCGUUAAUUGGCUCGUCACCUUUGUGAGUGCCCUUCCUGCUUCCACUGGGUGAUCCUGCUGACGAGGGAGCCACAGCUCUGCCAUGAGAACUCUGUCGUGCAGUCAUAGCACCACAGACUGGGAGACACCCAGGGCCCAGGUGCUGGACAUGGAGGUGUUUUGCCCAACACAUUGUUUGAAGAGUUGCCGCCCAAGAAGUCAGUGUCCUAGAGGCUCAGAGAGUACAGGGAGCUCGUGGAGACUUGCGUCUGUUCAGACAAGUAUGGAAGGAAGCACUUCCUGUCAGGGUUCUGGCUUCUUGUCACAGGACACACUAAGGCUGCAAAAAGGUAUCAAAGAACUGAUUUUUGAAAGGCCCUUGGUACUCAACUGCUGUUAUAGCUUGAAGCUGGCAAGUCCCUCUGGAGCCCUGGAAGAGGACAUCUGGAGGAAGACCAUGUGUAGCCAGAGAUGCCAGUCAGCGGUGAAGAUGGAAGCUGCCAGGGUCCCAGGGCAGUCCAUGAUGAUGAACAGCUGAGGAUGCUGGGUAAUGGGGCCUUACAAGGUGUCCUAUUCCUCCUUUGGCCAGUAGAGGCUUGCAGCUGUGAA
Peromyscus eremicus (cactus mouse) is the source of this 985-nucleotide long non-coding RNA. RefSeq lists it as uncharacterized. Lineage: Eukaryota; Metazoa; Chordata; Mammalia; Rodentia; Cricetidae. The record is from RefSeq and is a predicted model, not a curated record. The transcript has 2 exons.